UCAGUUACACCUCUAGGAGGUGGUGGGGUGGAGAUGGUGGAAAUGCUUUGGAAGUGAAGACCUGGUAGCUAUAGUCCAGAGAAAAUCUGACAGAGAUGUAUUAACAUUACAGUAAUUGCCCAGUGUUUGUUCUUCAAUGUAUGAACUUGUAAUAAAAUCAAAAGUGCUUUGGAGUGCCUGAAGCUAUGAAGCAACACAAUGUGUGCAUACAAGGGCUGUAUGGCCCUGUCAAAGGAGAUUACUGCUGUCUCCCUAGUCCCUAGUUGGUAGACUACCUCCUUAAAUAGUGCACUAUUGCACUCUCCUUGGAAGUUUAAGACCUUGAAAAGUUCUCUAGUAUCUAGAGGCAUGCUUCUUCUCUCUGUUGAAUAGGCUUCUUAUUUUCAUUCACUAAAGUUGCCAUAUAGAAAUUAACCACACUGAUCUCAUGCCUAAAUAAUUAGCAUGAAGCUUUUUAUUUUAUGCUUUUAUGAUAAGAGAGAUGGAGGAAUUUACAUUACAAGGCAUGUAAGUAUAGACAUUCAGAUUGGAUCUGUAUAGGACCAUACUUGAUCCAUCAAGAAACUAUUUAUGUUAUAAUUAUUUAAACAUAAAUGUUAAAAUGAAAGUUCUAUUUGAAUCAUUUUCUCUUAAUAAUUUUUAAUUAUUUAAACUCAAAUUUUAAAAUAAAAGCUUCACUUAAAUUCAUCCCUCACUUUUUUUUAACACAAAAGCUC
Molecule: long non-coding RNA, 716 nt
Filed under: Vitis vinifera (wine grape)
Lineage: Eukaryota; Viridiplantae; Streptophyta; Magnoliopsida; Vitales; Vitaceae
Description: long non-coding RNA (VVIN_LNC008193)
Source: RNAcentral